This 833-nucleotide ribosomal RNA is filed under the name Microscilla sp. MED599. Its description in RNAcentral is "bacterial SSU rRNA". It matches the Rfam family "Bacterial small subunit ribosomal RNA", at positions 56 to 890 of the family's 1533-position model. The record is from RNAcentral. Lineage: Bacteria; Pseudomonadati; Bacteroidota; Cytophagia; Cytophagales; Microscillaceae.
UGCAAGUUGAACGGGAUUCUAGACUUCGGUUUAGAUGAGAGUAGCGCACGGGUGCGUAACGCGUAUGCAACCUACCUUUUACAGGGGGAUAGCUCGGGGAAACUCGAAUUAAUACCCCAUGGCAUCAUAAAAUCGCAUGGUUUAAUGAUUAAAGAUUUAUCGGUAAAAGAUGGGCAUGCGUCUGAUUAGUUAGAUGGCGGGGUAACGGCCCACCAUGACGAUGAUCAGUAGGGGUUCUGAGAGGAUGAUCCCCCACACUGGUACUGAGACACGGACCAGACUCCUACGGGAGGCAGCAGUAGGGAAUAUUGGUCAAUGGGCGAGAGCCUGAACCAGCCAUGCCGCGUGUAGGAUGACGGCCUUCUGGGUUGUAAACUACUUUUCUACAGGAAGAAAAAGCUUAUGCGUAAGCAAUUGACGGUACUGUAGGAAUAAGCACCGGCUAACUCCGUGCCAGCAGCCGCGGUAAUACGGAGGGUGCGAGCGUUGUCCGGAUUUAUUGGGUUUAAAGGGUGCGUAGGCGGCUCUUUAAGUCAGUGGUGAAAGCCCGCAGCUUAACUGUGGAACUGCCAUUGAUACUGGAGAGCUUGAGUACGGUUGAAGUAGGCGGAAUUUAUGGUGUAGCGGUGAAAUGCAUAGAUACCAUAAAGAACACCGAUAGCGUAGGCAGCUUACUAAGCCGUAACUGACGCUGAGGCACGAAAGCAUGGGGAGCGAACAGGAUUAGAUACCCUGGUAGUCCAUGCCGUAAACGAUGAUCACUCGCUGUUAGCGAUAUACAGUUAGCGGCCAAGCGAAAGCGUUAAGUGAUCCACCUGGGGAGUACGUCCGCA